CUUCAUUGUUUCGUUCUUUCCUCUUUGUUGUAUUCAUUAGAUGGAAAUAAUUAAUUAUAUAAAAAUCACCGUGGUGACUCCAAACUUCAUUUGAGAAUUAGUCUCUUCCAUAUUUCGGUUUUUUCCAAAACUCGAAAAAUUGGAAUCGGGCUAUUCAAACGAAUUUUGAAAAGAAAAAUUAUUAGCAGCAUUGUAUUUUACAAUCUUGAUCCUAUAUACAGAUAGGACCUCUUUAAUCUCUUGAAUGGUUUACAGCCCUCAAUAGUACUUUAUUUAGUUAAAAGAAUACAACCUAAUACAUGGCAUCUCCUCCGUUGUCUUUGAAUCACUAUUAUGUAUCAUGCACAAUUUUUUUCUUUGGUUCUUUCUAAUGCCUUUAUCCCUCCACUCCUACAGCGCUUUCCCCUAGUCCUUCACAUUUUUUUUUGCUAUUCUUUAGCAAAAUAUUGGCUGUCAAUUUUUCAUUUUAUAUAUUUGGAUAUUGAGAAUUUAGUAAUGCUUUUAUAAAAAGAUGGACGUUGAACUGUCAUUUCUGCUGCUUCUUUUUCACUUAUUGUUUUAUGUCCCACUGGCUUAGGCAAUCAUGGGAAAGAAUGGUUUUGGGAAGGCCAUCUUGCGGAUGAUUAGUAUUCUUUCAUUUUGACAUUGAUCACUUAUUGGUGGGUGGUUCUUUGUAAGAUUUUCUUGCAGUCUAAUACAUUUGAUUGUUAUUUUCAGGUUUUGUAGUUUGAAAAGAUUUCUCACAGGUGACAUGCUUGUGGAGCUUAAGGAGAUUGUGGGAAAUAGGGGAGGAAAGUAGAAGACAAUUUGGAGGUUUCCCCUAAUCAGGAGGUCUUUGGUGAGGGGUGCCUUGGUGGAAUUAUGAACAAGUGUAUAGCCGGCAAUCUUGCUGUGAAAAACAAGCAUCACAGAGAGAUGGUUCUGAGAGAUUUUCCCUUACCUUUUUCCAGAAAUGCUCAUUUCCGGUGCACUACUUUCACCACCAACAAACUUCAUUCCUCGGUUAACCUGUAUUACUAGAAGUCAGGAAUUGUUUGAUUAUGAUGGAAGUAUGUAUCUCAAAUUUCUUAUCAGAUCCAGUUUCAAUUUGACUUCUCCAAAGUAACACCUUUUCUCUUCUUUUUAGCACCCUCUAUGGAUUUCUUUGACUCCGCCGACGGACUCUCUCUGCAUAACUCUUCAUUCCUCUUUCUUUUUCUCUGCAUUUCUC
Long non-coding RNA from Carya illinoinensis, 1210 nucleotides. RefSeq lists it as uncharacterized. The transcript is spliced from 3 exons. NCBI's taxonomy places the organism in Eukaryota, Viridiplantae, Streptophyta, Magnoliopsida, Fagales, Juglandaceae. The record is from RefSeq and is a predicted model, not a curated record.